AUGACACUGACUCUAGGGUCCCUGUGUCUGAGCUUCAGAAGUCGGAUGGACUCUGGCAGUAGAACCGAGUAGUGCCAGCAGUUUAUCUGUAGUAAUCAUUCUAAUCAUUCCCAAAGAAAUUCUACUGAGGCUGAAAUUCAAGAGGUCUAAUCUCAAGGUAGUCAUGUCGACCAAGAAACAUAGCCAGUACCUAAAAGGUAAUUUCAAAAUAAUUAUUGAAUUCUUUAUUUGCCUUUGUCAAACACCAUGCUGUCAGCACACAGUCCACAGUCUCUUUUUGUACCCCUCUUGACUUUAUCCUAUAGCUUCUCAAGAAUUCUUUUCUCUAAAUCCUGAAAACCUUUUUUCCUAGAUAUAUCCCAUGUGCCUUUUUCCUUCUUCUCUUCUCCUCUUUCUCCCAAUUCUGUAUUCCCUAACUCUAAAGAAGCAUCUGGCAAUGACAAGAACCUCCCGGAGUACCCAGGGGCAAGGGCAAUGCUGGGAAGGCAUUAGCAACAGCCUCCACCAAACGUCCCCGAGUGGAAGCUUGCUAAGUCAGGAAGAGCCUGUGUAACUUGGAAGACUUGUGGGAAAUUCUGGAAGCUCGGGAAAGAUAAAACUUAUUCAUAAAAAUGUAUAGUUCAUUCUCAUAUGUAAAGAUCAUAGAUACCUCGGAGGGAACUUUAGAGGCAUGUCAUUUUCAGGAAUGUUUUAUCCACGUUGCUUUGAGCCUCCAUUACUAAACCACACAGCAAAUUGUCUCAGCCCUGAGCUCCAGAAGGACCUGGGUUUGGAAUUCCUCGGUUCUGCAGGUCAGGAGGGAGCUGUUUUGGCAGUGCAAAACAGGGAAGCUGGCACGGUGGCUGUCUGCACUGUGUUGAUCUUUUGGAGGAAAUACUGCAAGAAGGAUGCCCAUGGCACUUUGAACGUUCCGGAUCCACCAAUAUCAGAAAGGUCUCUUAAUUCUAUGUCAGAAAUGCCUAAGAACCUGAAAAAAGUCUGA
This 982-nucleotide long non-coding RNA is filed under the name Callithrix jacchus (white-tufted-ear marmoset). Its description in RNAcentral is "lncRNA (ENSCJAG00000069708.1)". The record is from RNAcentral. Lineage: Eukaryota; Metazoa; Chordata; Mammalia; Primates; Cebidae.